RNAcentral lists this non-coding RNA (46 nucleotides) under Trichobilharzia regenti. Lineage: Eukaryota; Metazoa; Platyhelminthes; Trematoda; Strigeidida; Schistosomatidae. The record is from RNAcentral.
AUGCUGAUGAAGAGUCCCAAACUAGGACGAAACAGUUGUCCAGUAC